This 497-nucleotide ribosomal RNA is filed under the name uncultured bacterium. Its description in RNAcentral is "partial 16S ribosomal RNA". It matches the Rfam family "Bacterial small subunit ribosomal RNA", at positions 28 to 507 of the family's 1533-position model. The record is from RNAcentral.
GAUGAACGCUGGCGGCGUGCCUAAUACAUGCAAGUCGAGCGAACAGACGAGGAGCUUGCUCCUCUGACGUUAGCGGGGGACGGGUGAGUAACACGUGGAUAACCUACCUAUAAGACUGGGAUAACUUCGGGAAACCGGAGCUAAUACCGGAUAAUAUAUUGAACCGCAUGGUUCAAUAGUGAAAGACGGUUUUGCUGUCACUUAUAGCUGGAUCCGCGCCGCAUUAGCUAGUUGGUAAGGUAACGGCUUACCAAGGCAACGAUGCGUAGCCGACCUGAGAGGGUCGUCGCACACACGGGAACUGAGAAACGGCAGCGACACCGACGGUAGGACGCGGUAGGGAAUCUUACGCGAUGGGCGAGAGCCUGACGGAGCACAGCCGCGUGAGUGAUGAAGCUCUUCGGAUCGUAAAGCUAUGUUAUUAGGGAAGAACAAAUGUGUAAGUAACUAUGAACGUAUUGACGGUACCGAAUCAGAAAGCCACGGCUAACUCCGUG